GAUGAACGCUGGCGGCGUGCCUAAUACAUGCAAGUCGAGCGAACAGACGAGGAGCUUGCUCCUCUGACUUUAGCGGCGGACGGGUGAGUAACACGUGGAUAACCUACCUAUAAGACUGGGAUAACUUCGGGAAACCGGAGCUAAUACCGGAUAAUAUAUUGAACCUCAUGGUUCAAUAGUGGAAGACGGUUUUGCUGUCACUUAUAGACGGAUCCGCGCCGCAUUAGCUAGUGGGUAAGGUGACGGCUUACCAAGGCAACGAUGCGUAGCCGACCUGAGAGGGUGAUCGGACACCCUGGAAGUGAGACACGGUCCAGACUCCUACGGGAGGCAGCAGUAGGGAAUCUUCCGCAAUGGGCGAAAGCCUGACGGAGCACCGCCGCGUGAGUGAUGAAGGUCUUCGGAUCGUAAAACUAUGUUAUUCGGGAAGAACAAAUGUGUAAGUAACUAUGCACGUAUUGACGGUACCUAAUCAGAAAGCCACGGCUAACUACGUG
This 497-nucleotide ribosomal RNA is filed under the name uncultured bacterium. Its description in RNAcentral is "partial 16S ribosomal RNA". It matches the Rfam family "Bacterial small subunit ribosomal RNA", at positions 28 to 507 of the family's 1533-position model. The record is from RNAcentral.